UGUCAUGUUGGACAUCCUUUUUACACUUUCUAACACUCAGGAACAAGAAAACCAGAUCAACUGUACAAGAGAUACAACUCAAGAUCGAGGCUUCCAUCAACACCACCAGAGGAGUUAUCUCAUCCUGUACAGUGUGAGACCGACCCUACUGCUGUGAAUAGAGUUGUGGUUUAUGGUGAUCUAACUUACACUCCACCUUCUGUAAGUGAAUACACAUCUACAUGAACAGUUACUUGGUGAUUUUUUUCUGAUAUGUAUUCUAUA
Molecule: long non-coding RNA, 264 nt
Organism: Thunnus maccoyii (southern bluefin tuna)
Lineage: Eukaryota; Metazoa; Chordata; Actinopteri; Scombriformes; Scombridae
Exons: 3
Source: RefSeq, a predicted model, not a curated record